AACGCACAUUGCGCCCCUUGGUAUUCCGAGGGGCAUGCCUGUUCGAGCGUCAUUAUCAACCAUCAAGCCCAGCUUGGUAUUGGGCGCCCGUCCCCGUAACGGGGGGCGCGCCCUAAAGCACUCGGCGGUGGCCCCGAGCCUCAAGCGUAGUAAAAUCUCCAGCUUCAGAGGCCUCGGCGGUUGCUUGCCCCUAGAACCCAUCACCUAAGGUUGACCUCGGAUCAGGUAGGGAUACCCGCUGAACUUAA
RNAcentral lists this unclassified non-coding RNA (248 nucleotides) under Ascomycota sp. RNAcentral's name for it is "partial contains 5.8S ribosomal RNA, internal transcribed spacer 2, and large subunit ribosomal RNA". The stretch from base 1 to 52 matches the Rfam family "5.8S ribosomal RNA", at positions 103 to 154 of the family's 154-position model. Lineage: Eukaryota; Fungi; Ascomycota. The record is from RNAcentral. RNAcentral also lists the same sequence under 2 other names.